GAUGAACGCUAGCGGCAGGCUUAAUACAUGCAAGUCGAGGGGCAGCACGGGGGCAACCCUGGUGGCGACCGGCAAACGGGUGCGGAACACGUACGCAACCUUCCCAUAACUGGUGAAUAGCCUUUCGAAAGAGAGAUUAAUACACCGUAACAUAAUGAAGAGGCAUCUCUUUAUUAUUAUAGACUUCGGUCGGUUUUGGAUGGGCGUGCGCCUGAUUAGGUAGUUGGCGGGGUAACGGCCCACCAAGCCUGCGAUCAGUAACUGGUGUGAGAGCACGACCAGUCACACGGGCACUGAGACACGGGCCCGAUCCUACGGGAGGCAGCAGUAAGGAAUAUUGGUCAAUGGACGCAAGUCUG
Molecule: ribosomal RNA, 359 nt
Filed under: uncultured bacterium
Lineage: Bacteria
Description: bacterial SSU rRNA
Rfam family: Bacterial small subunit ribosomal RNA
Source: RNAcentral